RNAcentral lists this ribosomal RNA (804 nucleotides) under Bacillus sp. AI-5. Its description in RNAcentral is "bacterial SSU rRNA". It matches the Rfam family "Bacterial small subunit ribosomal RNA", at positions 34 to 807 of the family's 1533-position model. The record is from RNAcentral. Lineage: Bacteria; Bacillati; Bacillota; Bacilli; Caryophanales; Bacillaceae.
CGCUGGCGGUGUGCCUAAUACAUGCAAGUCGAGCGCAGGAAAUAAACAGAACCCUUCGGGGUGAUGUUUAUGGAAUGAGCGGCGGACGGGUGAGUAACACGUGGGCAACCUGCCUGUAAGAUCGGGAUAACUCGCGGAAACGUGAGCUAAUACCGGAUAACACUUUUCAUCUCAUGGUGAGAAGAUAAAAGACGGUUUCGGCUGUCACUUACAGAUGGGCCCGCGGCGCAUUAGCUAGUUGGUGAGGUAACGGCUCACCAAGGCGACGAUGCGUAGCCGACCUGAGAGGGUGAUCGGCCACACUGGGACUGAGACACGGCCCAGACUCCUACGGGAGGCAGCAGUAGGGAAUCUUCCGCAAUGGACGAAAGUCUGACGGAGCAACGCCGCGUGAGUGAUGAAGGUUUUCGGAUCGUAAAACUCUGUUGUUAGGGAAGAACAAGUUGGGUAGUAACUGACCCAACCUUGACGGUACCUAACCAGAAAGCCACGGCUAACUACGUGCCAGCAGCCGCGGUAAUACGUAGGUGGCAAGCGUUGUCCGGAAUUAUUGGGCGUAAAGCGCUCGCAGGCGGUCUUUUAAGUCUGAUGUGAAAGCCCACGGCUUAACCGUGGAGGGUCAUUGGAAACUGGAGGACUUGAGUACAGAAGAGGAGAGUGGAAUUCCACGUGUAGCGGUGAAAUGCGUAGAGAUGUGGAGGAACACCAGUGGCGAAGGCCACUCUCUGGUCUGUAACUGACCCUGAGGAGCGAAAGCGUGGGUAGCCAACAGGAUUAAAUACCCUGGUAGUCCACCCCGUAAAC